AUGGGCUCUGGGGAGGGGAAGAAAAGAGUUGCACAAGAGGCUUCAGCUGACACUGCCAAAAUAGCAGCAAAGCUUAGCAUUCCAAGCUGUUCCCUGCUGGCAUUCCUCCAAUCAGGCACCCGGCCCGGGGGUGGCAGCCUGGGGUGGAGUGGCCUUGUUAAAGCCUCACUCUUUUUAGUUGCAUUUCUCAGACACUGCCCUUGUCUCCACUGGAAGGACUCUCACCUGUUCUCUGCACAAGAGGUAACUGAAAAUGUCAGACACUGAAGAGAUCAUUGAGGAAUAUGAAGAGUAAGUACUAGGUUCUUCAAUGUUUUCCUUUCCCAUCUAUAUGCAGAAAUGUGUCUUGCUUUUCUGUCACUCACUUUGAUUUAUGUGGCUGUGUGGUCAUUCAGAUAUGCCAUUCUUAUAUUUCUAGAAUCUGGUCCAGAGGGGAGAUAAAUCACAGCAUGAAAUCAUUCUGAAUGAUUAGGGUGCUGAUCCAUAGCAAAUAUUUUAUUUAUCUUCCCCUCUGAUGUUUAGGUAGUGAGUGCUGCUGUGUAAAGAGCUAAAAUGCUACUAUCUACAUACAAGAAAGAGGUUGCACUUGGGGAAACCAUUCUUUAGGAAAAAGCUCUGAAGGGGGAAACCUCCGAAAGAGGCCAAUAAGAACUGAGCAUGCUCAGUGUUUUCAGAAUGCUGUCUGACUCUUGGGAGGUGAACUGGAAAAUAGGGCUGGAGAAUGGAAUGGAGAGGCUGGAAUCUUGAACACAAGGACUGCAUACUGCAAUAUUUUGUUCCAGGUCAUUAGAUAAUAGCAAUUGAUAAACCUAACAUUUAUGCAUUUGUGUAACACUUCCUUUUUUUUAAAGUGCUAGUGAGCUAGCCCCCCCCCCUUUAGCCUGUGAUCUUUGGAUGAAGGGUGGUAUAGAAAUUCAAUAAAUUAAUAAUAAUAAUAAUAAUAAUAAUAAUAAUAAUAAUAAUAAUAAUAAUAUAAGGAGGGAGUGAAGAUCAGAAUCAGAAUUUUUUUAUCAGCAUGGGAAUAAUAAUAUAUCAGCAUGGGAAUAAUAAUAAUAAUAAUAAUAAUAAUAAUAAUUUAUAUCCUGCCCAUCUGGCUGGGUUUCCCCAGCCACUCUGGGCGGCUCCCAGUAGAAUGUUAAAAACCACAAUAAAUACAUCAAACAUUAAAAACUUCCCUAAACAGGGCUGCCUUCAGAUAUCUUCUAAAAGUCAGAUAGUUGUUUAUUUCCUUGACAUCUGAUGGGAGGGCAUUCCACAGGGCAGGCACCACCACCAAGAAGCCCCUCUGCCUGGUUCCCUGUAGCGUCACUUCUCGCAGUGAGAGAACCGCCAAAAGGCUUCAGAGUCCUCAGUGUCCAGGCUGAAGGAUGGGGGUGGAGAUGCUCCUUCAGGUAUACUGGAUAUAAAAACACACACUUAACAAAGUAGAGCUGCGGAAGUGCCAAUUUCUAUUUCACUUCAGGCACCACAAAUGUCUAGGGCCAAUCCUCUUGAUAAUUUUAGUAUUUCUGAUAAAGCACUUAGAGAGUUUGUUACAAGCAAGUGGUAUAUAAAUUUUAUCAGAAAACGAAGUGUUGAGAAGGGAUUCCAAACCCCAGAGGUGAGGGUCUCACUAGGCUUCUUCUAAAAUUAAAAGAGAAUCUGGGUCUCUGAGGAUUCUCAGGACCUUCAUGUAGGAAACCUGACCCAAGCAUAGAAUGACAGGCUGUUGGGAUUUAAACAUUUUGGAUACUGGAAGAAAUGUAGAUACAGUACUUAAUUAGGAACCAGUAAGAGCCAUGGGACGUGGGUGGUGCUGUGGGUAAAAGCCUCAGCGCCUAGGGCUUGCCAAUUGAAGGUCGGUGUU
RNAcentral lists this long non-coding RNA (1846 nucleotides) under Podarcis muralis (Common wall lizard). RNAcentral describes it as "lncRNA (ENSPMRG00000003510.1)". The record is from RNAcentral. Lineage: Eukaryota; Metazoa; Chordata; Lepidosauria; Squamata; Lacertidae.